This 967-nucleotide long non-coding RNA is filed under the name Equus caballus (horse). Its description in RNAcentral is "lncRNA (ENSECAG00000051452.1)". The record is from RNAcentral. Lineage: Eukaryota; Metazoa; Chordata; Mammalia; Perissodactyla; Equidae.
AGGCAACAAAGUUUCAUUGUCUUUUGAUGCAAGCCCACACAUUCCAGGCACAGAUGUGCACAGUGGGGCAACUACUGAAAAGCAGACAAGAAGCCACUCUGUCACCAGCAUUGGGCCUGGCGCCAGGCGUCUUCCUUUCUUCGAACCCAUGACGGGGCUGAGGCCCUCAGAAGUGAGUCAUGGAGGAACGCAGGCAUCUGCCCACGGAGGGAGACCCAUUUACUCAGGGAAAAUAUCUGCAGGCAGUCUUUGUGCUUUGCUGUGCCAGAAGCUGUUAAGCCUGAUUCACACCACUGCCACUGUGGGACUGAACCCCCGCUGACGACAAAAAGAGCACAGGGAAGAAGCGAAAAUAGCUUAUUUUCAAUGACUUGCUGAAAACUCCCAGAUGUGAGCUGCGAUGGCCGUGUGGUGCACACAUUUGGGCUCUGAGUAUGGAUGUUCUCUCUAAAUAUCCCCCUGCUGCUCAGCAAAUUGAGAGGAAUAUGAUAACAUGAUCAGUGCAAGACUUUCAAGUAUAAAAGUACACUACUUAGAAUAAACUGUGGAGGAAGUGGAAUGGAAAUACACAUUUAAGGAGAAAAAGGAACUAUGUAAAUUUUCAACUAUUAAGGAAGAUCUUAUUCAUGUAUUUCUUAAUGGGUAGAUGGUAGUAUCAAAUCACUAUGGAAUUUAGAUUUCAUUAAAUCUAUUUAAAAGAGUGAUGAGACAGUUUUAUUUUUAAAUGACUGUAAUUUCAAUACUCUUGCAGCUAUAUCCUUGGCAACUAUUUAAACAUGCAAUAAAAACAUGUCAACUUAAAAAGGUACAUAGUUUUCCGGGAUGAUUUUAGAAGAUACAAAAGCAAACCCUUGAAGACUACCAUACUUAAUACAGUGAAUUCUCUUGGGUGAUUAUAACAGGGCAGAUCAAAUGGUAGAUGUUCAAGGGGAUCCCAUUUGCUGAUGAACUACUCUGUGUGCAGGAG